GCGAGCCCGAUAAACCCUCAGAAAAUCCAAAAAAAACGGCGGAGCUUCCAACACUCGAACCGCCCGCUCUCUCUCGAUCUCAUCGAUCCUGACCUCCUCGUCUCCCCCCGAUUUAACUACUCUCAUCCCUCCCCCUACCUUCGGAACCCAUCUUUCCCUCCCUUCCUUCCAAUCCUUCGAUAACUAUCGUCUCAUCCCCCACAGGGUUUGAUCCCAGGAUGGACUCGAUGAUCGCUUGCAAGUCGGGCUGCUUGCCUCCAGGGUUGUUCAUCAGACCUACCAGAGGAAUUAGGAGCUCUCAAUGCAGCUUUAUGGUGGGAAAUGAUCCAAAGUUUUGCAAGAUAAGCUUUCCAAGGAAAAGAACUGCUUGUGCGAUCCGGAAAUCCAAAAAAAAUGGAGGAGCACUGAAUGCAACUUGCUAUGAUGAGAAGAUUCUUGUGGCAAAUAGAGGGGAAAUUGCAGUCCGUGUGAUUCGAACUGCACAUGAGAUGGGGAUUCCCUGUGUUGCUGUGCACUCUACAAUAGAUCAGGAUGCUCUUCAUGUGCGGCUUGCAGAUGAGGCAGUGUGCAUUGGUGAAGCACCAAGCAGUCAAUCGUAUUUAUUUAUUCCAAAUGUUUUAUCAGCUGCUGUUAGCCGGGGGUGCACUAUGUUGCAUCCUGGAUAUGGUUUCCUUGCCGAGAAUGCUGGCUUUGUUGAUAUAUGCAAAGAGCAUGGAAUCAACUUUAUUGGGCCCAAUCCUGACAGCAUUCGAGUCAUGGGUGAUAAAUCUACAGCCAGAGAAACUAUGAAGAAAGCAGGCGUCCCAACUGUACCUGGAAGUGAUGGACUGUUACAGUCCACCGAGGAGGCUGUCAAGCUUGCACAUGAAAUUGGUUUCCCUGUGAUGAUCAAGGCGACUGCCGGUGGUGGAGGGCGUGGAAUGCGUCUGGCUUACGAACCUGAACAGUUUGUAAAGUUGCUCCAGCAAGCGAAAAGUGAGGCAGCUGCAGCAUUUGGAAAUGAUGGGGUUUACCUGGAGAAAUACAUCCAGAAUCCAAGGCACAUUGAGUUCCAGGUUCUUGCAGACAAGUAUGGAAAUGUUGUUCAUUUUGGGGAGCGUGAUUGCAGUAUUCAGAGAAGGAAUCAGAAGCUCCUAGAAGAAGCUCCAUCACCUGCAUUGACCCCUGAACUACGCAAAGCUAUGGGUGAUGCUGCUGUAGCAGCUGCUGCAUCUAUAGGCUACAUUGGUGUUGGAACUGUGGAAUUUCUCUUGGAUGAAAGAGGUUCCUUCUACUUCAUGGAAAUGAACACCAGGAUCCAGGUAGAGCACCCAGUCACUGAAAUGAUUUCUUCAACUGAUUUGAUUGAAGAACAAAUUCGAGUUGCUCUUGGAGAGAGACUGACAUACAAGCAGGAAGACAUUGUUCUUAGGGGACAUUCAAUUGAGUGCCGUAUUAAUGCAGAGGAUGCCUUCAAAGGAUUUCGACCGGGGCCAGGAAAGAUCACAUCAUACUUGCCAUCUGGAGGUCCAUUUGUGAGAAUGGAUAGUCAUGUUUAUCCAGGCUAUGUGGUUCCUCCAAGCUAUGACUCCUUGCUAGGAAAGGAAUUCCGACAACCAUUGAAUACCAUAAGCUAAUUCUUGAUAUUGAGGACUUCAGAAAUGGAAAAGUAGAUACUGCCUUCAUACCCAAGCAUGAGAAGGAUUUGACAGCACCCCAUAAACUAGUCUUGUCAACAUCGGAGAAAGAGCUUGCUGGCGUGGGUGCCUAAACUUUAUAUCAUGUGCUGCAGUCACCAUGGCAUGUCAAUCUCUACAACAUUCGUUGCUUAUCAACGGAAGACUUUGACUUGAGAAUAACCAUAGCCUGCACCAAUCUCUCUCUCAUCUGAUUACCUGGAAUAUUUCUUUCAGUUUGUCUAGGCACUAGGCAGCGAAGCUUAUGACUGGAAAUUGUAUUGAGUGAGAAGCAUAGCUUCUGUUUGGAAACGACUUAGGAUGUACGUAUAGCUGGGGGUGGAUGUGCUCAUUUAAGUCUGAGCAAUUAUUGAUAUUUAUAGGCUCUGUUCUUUCCCAGUUUAAUGGGCUGUGCUUUUUUCAAGUUUUACUGGCUCUGGAAUUCAGUCAGGACCCGAGAACUGAAUGUUAUGUGGUUCAGAGUUGAAGCUCAA
This is an RNA transcript of Elaeis guineensis (African oil palm), 2149 nucleotides long. It is a transcript of the gene named biotin carboxylase 2, chloroplastic, with no coding region annotated. The record is from RefSeq and is marked provisional. NCBI's taxonomy places the organism in Eukaryota, Viridiplantae, Streptophyta, Magnoliopsida, Arecales, Arecaceae.